GCGUCUGUAGCUCAGCUGGAUAGAGCGUCGGCCUCCGGAGCCGAAGGUCGCAGGUUCGAAUCCUGUCAGGCGCA
Molecule: transfer RNA, 74 nt
Filed under: Gemmatimonadaceae bacterium
Lineage: Bacteria; Pseudomonadati; Gemmatimonadota; Gemmatimonadia; Gemmatimonadales; Gemmatimonadaceae
Description: tRNA-Arg
Rfam family: tRNA
About the family: Transfer RNA (tRNA) molecules are approximately 80 nucleotides in length. Their secondary structure includes four short double-helical elements and three loops (D, anti-codon, and T loops).
Source: RNAcentral